Punica granatum (pomegranate) is the source of this 469-nucleotide non-coding RNA. NCBI's taxonomy places the organism in Eukaryota, Viridiplantae, Streptophyta, Magnoliopsida, Myrtales, Lythraceae. The record is from RefSeq and is a predicted model, not a curated record.
GAUUAACUUUUCAGCUUUGUAACAAAGUACAUUAGACCUUUCAUCAAUCACGCAGAGAGAGGAGUGUUUUCGGACAUUGUCCCACGAACCAGUUGGAGCGGUGGUGGCUGCAGCAGCAGCCUUGGGUCCAUCCAUGAAUCCCUGGGGAGGUCCAUUGGGUCCAGGGAGCGCGAGACCAUCGGGGCCAAUUCGGUUAACCUUCCUCAGCUUUGUCCUGAUACCUAACAGCCUCAACACGAAUCUUGCUAGCUCACCAUACAACAUGCCAGAACGAUCAAAAAGCUGCAGCACGUAUUUUACAGUAAAUGAGGCGCAGCUUAAGAACAAAUUGCUCCUUUUCCUGUCGAGAACAAAAUUGCCUUCAAGAGAAAUGACGAGCUAAAACAUAAAAUGAGAAGCGAAAUUACCUGAAGAAGUGCGGUCAUAAACAUGUGGAAGGCUUGUGUAUUCUGGUCUAUGAGCAUCGAAA